UACAGAGGUCCCGAGCGUUGUUCGGAUUCAUUGGGCGUAAAGGGUGCGUAGGCGGCUGGCUAAGUCUGAUGUGAAAUCCCGGGGCUCAACCCCGGAACUGCAUUGGAUACUGGCCAGCUUGAGUACUGGAGAGGAGACUGGAAUUUACGGUGUAGCAGUGAAAUGCGUAGAGAUCGUAAGGAAGGCCAGUGGCGAAGGCGAGUCUCUGGACAGUAACUGACGCUGAGGCACGAAGGCCAGGGGAGCAAACGGG
This 253-nucleotide ribosomal RNA is filed under the name uncultured bacterium. RNAcentral describes it as "partial 16S ribosomal RNA". It matches the Rfam family "Bacterial small subunit ribosomal RNA", at positions 524 to 776 of the family's 1533-position model. The record is from RNAcentral.